RNAcentral lists this ribosomal RNA (253 nucleotides) under uncultured bacterium. Its description in RNAcentral is "partial 16S ribosomal RNA". It matches the Rfam family "Bacterial small subunit ribosomal RNA", at positions 524 to 776 of the family's 1533-position model. The record is from RNAcentral.
UACAGAGGGUGCGAGCGUUGUCCGGAAUCACUGGGCGUAAAGGGCGCGUAGGCGGUCUCUUAAGCGUGUGGUGAAAGCCCGGGGCUCAACUCCGGGUCGGCCGUGCGUACUGGGGGACUGGAGCUUGUCAGAGGCAGGCGGAAUUCCGGGUGUAGCGGUGGAAUGCGUAGAGAUCCGGAAGAACACCGGUGGCGAAGGCGGCCUGCUGGGACAGUGCUGACGCUGAGGCGCGACAGCGUGGGGAGCAAACAGG